This 667-nucleotide long non-coding RNA is filed under the name Olea europaea (common olive). Its description in RNAcentral is "long non-coding RNA (OEUR_LNC004947)". The record is from RNAcentral. Lineage: Eukaryota; Viridiplantae; Streptophyta; Magnoliopsida; Lamiales; Oleaceae.
AUGUGCAAAUAAACACAAGUAACCGGCUCUGGAUAUAUUAAUGUGGUACCUUCUUCUGCAAGUCAUCAAAAUAGGGAAUAGAAGCAAGCUUUGGACACCGAGAAAGAAACCUUUGGAGCUCAACUUCAAGGCGAAAACUCCCAUCAAUAGCCAUUUAAAAUUCCUACCAAAUACUAUAAACAGUGCUGUCGAUUGAUUUGAGAAGGUUUUGUUGUCAAGUCAAUGAUCAAAAUCAAGUUAUAGCUGCGGAUAUCCAGAAACUGCAUGGUGAAAAGAAGUCUACUUACAUUAGCACAACCAAAAAUUAAUGCUGAAAAUAAUAAAAACUUGUAUUAUCGUUCAAGACUUCAAAAAGAAUAAUAUUCGUCCAGCACCAUCCCUGCUUAAGCUUUUCUUGCUGCAGCGGGAGCGGCCAAACAUGACCAGCAUGUCUGGUGUACUUUUUCGAAUUUCAUCCUCUUUAGUCUCAUGUUAGUUGAAAAAAAACAUGUGUAAAACGCACCUGAUUGUUCUGGCUUCUGAAUUUCGCGAAUUCGAGGUGAAAAGCCUGGGCUUAAAUUAAUGGUUUCUAGGUUAGGAACAGGGUUUAGGGGCGGGAGCUGAGCGCGCAGGCGAGGAAGAGGGAGAAGUAUAAAUUAGGUUUUAGUUAGGAACUUUUGGACUGUUA